This 253-nucleotide ribosomal RNA is filed under the name uncultured bacterium. RNAcentral describes it as "partial 16S ribosomal RNA". It matches the Rfam family "Bacterial small subunit ribosomal RNA", at positions 524 to 776 of the family's 1533-position model. The record is from RNAcentral.
UACGUAGGGUGCAAGCGUUGUCCGGAAUUAUUGGGCGUAAAGAGCUCGUAGGCGGUUCGUCGCGUCGGCUGUGAAAUCCCGAGGCUCAACCUCGGGUCUGCAGUCGAUACGGGCGGACUGGAGUACUGCAGGGGAGACUGGAAUUCCUGGUGUAGCGGUGGAAUGCGCAGAUAUCAGGAGGAACACCGAUGGCGAAGGCAGCUCGCUGGGACGGUACUGACGCUGAGGCGCGAAAGCGUGGGGAGCGAACAGG